GAGAAAGGGAAGUAAGUUUUUAACCAGAGAUGUCAGUGGAAAGUAUGGAAGAGAAGACUGUAAGGUAACAUAUUACCUGAAAGCAGCUUAAGUGGAGAAUAUAGCAAGCAAAAAGCCAGAUGCAGUACAAGGGCAAGGAGCAAAGAGAGGGAUCAGGAUUUUGCUGGCUCUAAGUUUGGAGCAGUGACAUGGACUGAGCCCACACAGAGCUCUGAACACUACACAGGAAGAAUAACUGUCCAUUUCGAUCUCUUGGUAGCAUUUGUUUCUGUGAGUAGUAAUUUUGUUUUGUAUUCAAGAAUAGGAAGUAUAUUUAAAAUGGGUACUUUAUUGUCUUGCUGCUUGGAGUAAAUUUUAAAUCAAUAAUGAUGCUCCUGAAAGUAAAGGGUUAUAAUAGAAAGAAGUGAACUAAGCAGACAAUCAGGUUGUAACAGGUCAGGUCAAAAGUCCUUUUAGUACUGUAGCAAGUCUUGGAUUCUUCAAUGGGAAGUCCAAGAAACAGGGUAAGUAAUAGAUUUCUUCCAUAGUAUAAUCUGCUCACUUUUGGCAAUCAGGGUAGGAUUUCUGGACUAUGCAGUACAUUACUGUAUUUAAGAGCAUAAGAUUUAUUAUCUUUCUGUAAUUUGUGCAGUGGCUUUUUGGAAACUAUUUUUGACAGCUAUAAAAAACUAUAGUAAUACAUUUUGACUACAUAUUGUCUGAAGCAGGCUUGCUUAAUAUUUGUGUAAUCAAAGAGCUCCAAAGUCUUCUGUUAUGGAGCAGAAUGAAUGUUUCUUCUAUAUUUAACUUUUUUGAUGAUGCUGAUGGUAUUAAAGGCUUAUUUACUUUCCCCCCUCACAGCUGCCACUUAUCCAGGCUUUAGAGGUUCAAUCUACUGUCUCAUCAAACAAAAACUACAUUGUAUCUGCAGCCAUUCUGUACCUCCUUAGCUUUUUGUUGUUGCGCUGGACGAACUGUUCCAGAUGCAUGCAUAAUAUGCUUUUAUAUAGUAAAAAAAUGGUUCUUGAUUUUUCUUCCUAUUUCUUUUAGAAUAUGAAGACUGCUUUGAGAGCAGUGCCUCCUAUUUUAUUAUACUGGUACACAACACCAGAGGUGAAUGUUGGUGGUGUGGCAGUAGAGGCUGAACCUUCCCACCAACAUUGUCACAUUCUCUUGCUGCGCCACAGUUGACAGCAGAGGGGCAGUGUGAUGAAAUGGCACCUGACAUGGAAGUGUGUAUGAAAGAAAGGAGUGGAAAUGAAUUCCCCCAUGCAGAAAAAAAAUGGCAACCACUGAUAUUUAUUGACGCUUGCUGAAUGCUUAUGGAGAACAAACAGUGAAUGAGAGCAUAGAGAGGUGCAUUUCAGCAGUGGUGAUGGUAACAGAUGGCUCACUUUUACUGGUGUAGAUUUUCACAAGCAUAGUAUGCAGGCUCUUGUUCAUGGCUGGUAAAAAUACAUUUCAAAUGCUGUUGACUUCUGAAAAACAAAGUUUUGUAAAUAGUUUUUUUUUUUUUCUAUCAGUGUUAUUGUGCUCUUUGAAGCUGUUAUAGUUUCAAUAGAAAUAAAUAAUUGGCAUUACUUUUGGAGCAAACUCCAUAUUUUAUAACAUGCAAUUUGAUUUAUUUUUUUUAACCCAAGCAAGAACCUAUCAUUUGCCAAGAACAGCAUUUGGUGAUCUGAUGACUUACUUUCUGAGUAAUAAUCACUUUACACGUGUAUACAUAGAAAGAUUUCCACAUUUUAAAAUAUUGUUAUGUUUUCAAUAAGGGAUUUUGUUGUCAUUUUUAAUCAUCACUAAUCGACUAUUGUGAGAUUUUUCGUUUUUUUGGUUUUUUUUUUUUUUCAAUUGCAUAUAAUUUUUACAAUCUUCAAUAAAAAUAUCCUCAGAAUUUUUUUUCCAUAUUGUCUAUUUGAUUUUUCAUAUUAUUUAGGAAUACAUUCAAACACAGAACAUGUACUAUCCUGAUUAUAAAAUAACUUUGCUUUGAUAUCUGCCCUAUUACAUGUCAUAAAUACAGAGAAAUACUGUGAAAAAAAUGAUAACAUUAACAAAAAUCUAAGUCAACAUAAGUAGCGUUUUUAAAGGUGGAAAAUGUUUAGAGAUAGCAAAAGAAAAAACAAAGAAGUUAAAAUUAAGGAUACUUCCUUUUUCUAUUUUUUAAAUAUUUUAUUUAAAUUAUGGGUAUUGUAUUUUUGUUAAACAUACAUAUAGAUUAACAGAAGCUGGACCAACUUUACUGACUUUUAAUAAGGAAAUUAUGACAGUCUGGUUCUGAGCCUUGUGUAUAUUUGAGCAACUCAGUUUUCAUUUCAGAGCUGUGCAAAUAUUGAUGAUGCAGGUGCUAUUUCAUCAAUAUAUAGUCUUCUGGGAGACAAGUCUUGUGGAUAUCUGCAAAUGCUUGUCACUGUGCCACCUGAAAACUUCAUACACUUUUGUUAUUCAUUAUGUACACUGUAGAAAGCAGGAAUGUGACUCAUAGCACAUAAAUGCAUUUAAGAAUUUUUAACCCUUAUCUAUGUUUCUGUAUUUUUCUAUUAAUAAUUUUGUUUAUUGUAUAUCUUAGGAACUUAUAAUAGUUUUCUGACUUGGGAAAGUCUUUCUCUCUUUCUUCUGGAAAGAGUCCAGUGGAGGGCCAUGAAGAUGAUGGAGGGCCUGGAGCACCUCUUUUAUGAGGAAAGGCUGAGCAACCUAGGUCUGUUCAGUCUUCAGAAAAGAAGACUGAGAGGGGAUCUGAUCAAUGUCUAUAAAUAUCAAAGGUGUGGGAGGCAAAGGGAUGAGGGCAGACUCUUUUCAGCAGUGUGGCAACAGGAAAAGGGGAAAUGGCCACAAACUAAAGCAUAGGAAGUUCCGCACAAAUGUGCAUAAGAACUUCUUCAUGGUAAGGGUGAUGGAGCUCUGGAACAGGCUGCCCAGGAGGGUUGUGGAGUCUCCUUCUCUGGAGACGUUCAAGACCUACCUGGGUGCCUAUCUGCGCAGCCUGGCCUAGGAAGCCUGCUUUGGCAGGGGGGUUGGACUAGAUGAUCUCUAGAGGUCCCUUCCAGCACCUACAAUUCUGUGAUUCUCUGACAGGGGCUUUACUUAUAGUAACUUAUAUACUGUUAAUUCUACUACAAAUACUUCAAAUGCAGUAGAUAAUGCAUUUGCUGAAUUCUAGCACUAUUUUAUGAUGCUUCCUU
RNAcentral lists this long non-coding RNA (3158 nucleotides) under Gallus gallus (chicken). Its description in RNAcentral is "lncRNA (ENSGALG00010002931.1)". Lineage: Eukaryota; Metazoa; Chordata; Aves; Galliformes; Phasianidae. The record is from RNAcentral.